Anguilla anguilla (European eel) is the source of this 1053-nucleotide long non-coding RNA. RefSeq lists it as uncharacterized. NCBI's taxonomy places the organism in Eukaryota, Metazoa, Chordata, Actinopteri, Anguilliformes, Anguillidae. The transcript has 4 exons. The record is from RefSeq and is a predicted model, not a curated record.
GCAGCUCAGGGAACACAGACACAGAGACAGUACUGGGGAGACAAGUGACCGGGAAAUACAGACUACAACAGGUUCUGGACAGCGGAGCUUGGUGAAUGUUACAGGACGGAAGCCCAGCCGAGCUAGUCGUAUUCUGCAUUCAUUACCGGAGGGUGGUUGGCGUUCGCAUGCCGUUUAGGGCUGCCAACGGCGAAGAUAGAUAGCGGGUUGUAGGGCGAGGUUCCUGUGCGAGGCAGGGCUGAGGUACUGGUAGCGGAAAUAUAGAAGUGCUUUUGUCCACUCUCCAACCCGUUGACAAGGCUCUCCUGCUGCGAGUGGACACGCCUCACUGCGCUGGACCAACAGACCCCUCAGACCCCGGGGGAGGGUCUCGAACCCCGAGAAAAUAGCGCUCUAUGCUACCAGGAAUAGCGCAGCAGCACCUCUGGCACCGGGAAACCCGACAGCGCUCCGUGUGACCGGAAAAGCAGGGAAGCACCUCUAGCAACAAGGGAGAAAAUCUGCAUUGUUCACAGGGAGUUCAAUGGAGUCCUGCUUGGGGACAGAGGCUAUGCCUGCAUGCCGUACCUGCUCACACCCUACCCAGAUCCAGGAAUAGAGGCGGAGAGGGCCUUCAACCAUGCCCACACAAAAACGAGGGCACGGAUAGAGAUGACCUUUGACCAAUUGAAAUCCAGUCCCUGCAGGUUCCAGUGCCUGAAAGGCCUCAGGGUUACUCCUGACCGGGCAGUCUUGCACAACAUUGCUACUAUACGCCGGGAGAGACUGCCCACAAUGUUGGUGGAGGAGCAAUGGGAGGACCUCGACCCGGCCCUUCAGGAACCGAUGGAUGGAACGACAGUGAGGGACCUUUACAAGGACACAUAUUUCAGUUAAUCCCCAUUGUGGUGACCUUUGUUUGAGUUAUCCCCUUUUUUCAGAACUUAGCAUGUUCUGUACAAUUUUAAUAAACACAUGUGUGCCUAAGUUGUGUUGAAUUUCUGUAUUAAUUCACUCAUUUGAUUCAAGCUGUGGAGACAAAACACAGAAAAUUAAAUACAGUCCAAACCAUGA